CCUCUCUUUAUCUUUAAACUUUGGCAUUUUAAUUAUGAUGUGUCUUGGUGUGGUCCUCUUUGAAUCCAUCUUGUUUAUAACUCUCUGUGCUUCCCGGACUUGUGUGUCUAUUUCUUUCACCAAAUUAGAGAGAGAGGAAGAGGGAGAGAGAGAGAGAGAAACAUCCGUGUGAGAGAGAAACAACACUUGUUCGCUUCCCCUGUGCUCCCUGACCCGGCUGCAACCUGCAACAUUUUGGUGUGCAGGACGACAUUCCAACCAACUGAGCCACCCGACCAGUUAAGAAAACAGAGGCCCCAGGAGGUCGCGGUGUCACUACUGGUCACAGCCCAGCGAGAGCUGGAGCUGACGGGCCUUGCUUCCCAGCCCCUGAUGGUUUCCCUGCUGCAGCUCAGUAACACUUACGGACACAACACAGGACACACACGGCAACAUGUGACAUCUUUACCAAACGUGAUGGCAGUGGCACAUUCAGGACGAAACCUGCCAGUGGUCAGGACAAACACCCGGUGUGAACAAAUCACUGUCCCAGACCUACUGGUUCUUCUUAACCAGUUGUAAACCUCCAGUUAUUAUCACUGGAAUCAUCACAGAAUGGGAAACACCAGAAUGUUUGUUUAUUCGUCGGAAUAACUACCCACUAGCUUCCACGACAGACCAACUCGGAAAUCUAAAGGACUUUACACAACACGAAUUUAUUUCUCAUUCACACAAAAUGAUAGUUGAUCAGCAAGACUUCUUUUCCACUCAGAGACCCUGGGUUCCUCCAUCUUGUGACGCUACCAUACUGAUCCGUGGCUUCCUAAGUCAGUGCAGGACGGAUAGAAGAGCUGAAGGAGUGAGUCAUCCUAGAUCUCACCGGUGCCUGACACUUCUGCUUUCCUUUCCGCAGGCCAGGAUGCGACCCAGGUCUCUAACCUAACUGCCAGGAAGAGUAGAAAAUGCAGGGAAGCACAUCAAUCGCUUUGCGCCUCUACAGCCCAAGUACCUAUAGGGAUUUCUGUCCGACAUCACACAUUUAUUCAGUUGUUGGUGCUGCUGACCCAUGGCCUGAUUCUGGACUUCUUUUCUUCACUAACCAGCUCUAUCACACUCUCUCCAAUCUCAGAGGUGGUGUUCAGGAGGGACAAUCUGAUUGGCUUGUUUAUCUUCCUUGUGUGUUUGGGUAGAGGCCUUGUUCAAGGCCACGUGAAACGCACUGGCCAGUCUACAGACAGACUGCCUGAUUACGUCACGCCUGGGUUAGCCAUCUCUGGAAAAGACUUUGGGAAUCCAUUGCAUUGGAAUUUGAAAAUAAACAAAUAAAUGUAGGGUGUGGCAAAAGUAGGUUUACAGUUAUGAGUACAUGAAACAGUUUAUUGUUGUAUUUUAUUUAUUAAUUAUUGUAUUAUUUUCCAUAAGCACAACUGUAAACAUCCU
This is a long non-coding RNA of Artibeus jamaicensis (Jamaican fruit-eating bat), 1419 nucleotides long. RefSeq lists it as uncharacterized. The record is from RefSeq and is a predicted model, not a curated record. The transcript has 4 exons. Lineage: Eukaryota; Metazoa; Chordata; Mammalia; Chiroptera; Phyllostomidae.